AUUGAACGCUGGCGGCAGGCCUAACACAUGCAAGUCGAGCGGAUGAAGGGAGCUUGCUCCUGGAUUCAGCGGCGGACGGGUGAGUAAUGCCUAGGAAUCUGCCUGGUAGUGGGGGAUAACGUCCGGAAACGGGCGCUAAUACCGCAUACGUCCUGAGGGAGAAAGUGGGGGAUCUUCGGACCUCACGCUAUCAGAUGAGCCUAGGUCGGAUUAGCUAGUUGGUGGGGUAAAGGCCUACCAAGGCGACGAUCCGUAACUGGUCUGAGAGGAUGAUCAGUCACACGGGAACUGAGACACGGUCCAGACCCGUACGGGAGGCAGCAGUGGGGAAUAUAGGACAAGGAGCGAAAGCCUGAACCAGCCAUGCCGCGUGAGUGAAGAAGGGCUUCGGAUUGUAAAGCACUUUAAGUUGGGAGGAAGGGCAGUAAGUUAAUACCUAGCUGUUUUGACGUUACCAAAAGAAGAAGCACCGGCUAACUUCGU
RNAcentral lists this ribosomal RNA (483 nucleotides) under uncultured bacterium. Its description in RNAcentral is "partial 16S ribosomal RNA". It matches the Rfam family "Bacterial small subunit ribosomal RNA", at positions 30 to 506 of the family's 1533-position model. The record is from RNAcentral.